RNAcentral lists this long non-coding RNA (369 nucleotides) under Nicotiana benthamiana. Its description in RNAcentral is "long non-coding RNA (NBEN_LNC040679)". The record is from RNAcentral. Lineage: Eukaryota; Viridiplantae; Streptophyta; Magnoliopsida; Solanales; Solanaceae.
AUUCAUAUUUUACUAAAUUACUUUCAUUUUAUAACCGUUCGAGCUAUCUAGUUUGGGAUCAAGAAACAAACCCGCUUGUUGGGGACGGUAUUUUAGUUCCAACCACAUCAAACAUUGGAGAACUAUUAUCUUCUUUUCAUUCCUGGUCUUUCAACUUGCCAAAGCUUGUUACUUGUAAGUGUUUGAUGUAUACUCAGAAAUUCAAGAAAAGAAUGGGAAUAAGAAACCAAGUUUGGUACUAUGUUUACUUUGAUCCUUCAACUUAUCUGUCUAACGAUUGAAUGAAAAUUAUUCUUUAUGGCCUCUCAAAAUUUUAAUAGUCCAUUUUUUUUUACUUACAUGAAAUGACCCUUCGACCUAAACAUAUUA